Ribosomal RNA from Protopterus annectens (West African lungfish), 154 nucleotides. RefSeq annotates it as 5.8S ribosomal RNA. Lineage: Eukaryota; Metazoa; Chordata; Ceratodontiformes; Protopteridae. The record is from RefSeq and is a predicted model, not a curated record. The transcript has a single exon.
GACUCUAAGUGGUGGAUCACUCAGCUCAUGCAUCAAUGAAGAACGCAGCCAGCUGCGAGAACUAAUGUGAAUUGCAGGAUACAUUGAUCAUCGACACUUCGACUGCACUUUACGUACACGGGUUACUCCCGGGGCUACACCUGUCUGAGGGUCA